AUGGCUGCAGGAUAGAAACCAGCUGAGUAACCAAGAGGCCAGGCUAAGUGGUCGUAGAGGAUCUUAUGAGGAUAAACCACCUGAUGGAAAAGAUGAAGGACUGCUUCACCCCAAGGGCUGUCUUCCCUGGAGGCUGGCUUAGAGCCCAUUUAUAUGAGUGAUUACAGACUGGCAGGCACUUUCUCACAGAACAAUAACAACUCAAAGUGCUAAAAUGGAUUGCCACUUGCCAAGGAGCAAACUUGAAAAAUACAAAAACAAAAACAAAAAAUAUCAUAAGGAACAAACCUUGAAGAGAUCAUGCUAAGGGAAAUAAGCCAGUCAUGACUGUGAUCUUAAGGCAGUAAAGGAAUGGCAACAAGAUAGACUCUUGAAGGAUCACAGCACUGUACCUGGGAGGAGGGACACACAUCAGCCCCUAGUGAUUCCUCACCUAAACACCUUAAUCUUUUCCCCACAUGCUUCUGCUUCUUAUCUCUGGAGGCCUGCAUUCCUUGCAAAAGUUCUGGAUUCCUUUGUUCUCCUGAGGAUAAGUUCCCUGUCCUCAAGCUGCUUGGCCUUGUAAAGAAGACAAACAAGUAAAUAGGCAACAACAAAAAGUA
This is a non-coding RNA of Ictidomys tridecemlineatus (thirteen-lined ground squirrel), 602 nucleotides long. NCBI's taxonomy places the organism in Eukaryota, Metazoa, Chordata, Mammalia, Rodentia, Sciuridae. The record is from RefSeq and is a predicted model, not a curated record.